GCUUGACGUAAAAAAAAGAAGUUUUUUUGUUACUUGAGGAGAAAGGAUAAAAGGUUGUAUUCAAUUCGAUUCAAUUAUAGAAGUGUUCAAUAUUUUCUGAAGUGAAUAAUUAACACUACAUUGUAGCUGUCGUAGCAAUCCCAGGAGUAAACGCACGCACAAUUGAAUUAGGUUAGCCUAAUUCAUUAUAUUUUAGAAGACCCCAAAAGGGAAGCCAAGAUUUGUUCGGGGAGUAAUAAGGCUUGAAGCCGUACCGAAUCUCUUGAAGCAUUACGCUAAAAAGAAUCGGCGAUUGAUUUUAUUCCCGAACAUACGGAAAUACAAAAAUACAUGUUUAUUUCUAAAAAAUCGUAUAAAUUGGUUGAGUCACAAUAUCAAGAAGGUUGUAAUGUAUGCGUCUACACUAUGUUUGCAUCAAAACAGCCACUUCACAACAUAUAAAUCUCAUUAUUUUGACCACAUAAUCCUUAGCAAAAUGCUAUGAAGCAAGCAUCAAUGGGACACACUAUUUUCAAACUAAAUUUUUCAACCAAAGAACAAUGUUUUGCAUGGAAUCAAGUAUUAAAAUCGAGAUUUCUGAUGUAUAAAAAUCAUAUUAGAGCCUUCAAAAAUAAGAUAUGUUUACUAAACUAGUAAAAAACUCACUCGUAUUACCAUAAUAGGUACUAUUGCGAUGAUAGGUACAUCUACCCUAUAAGCUCUGGGACAUCAUGAAUUUUUCAGAUGAUGCUAAGUCAGACUGUGCUGUACUCGUAGGUCGUGGACGUAUACUUCCGGGCUUCUGCGGCUUCAUUGAUAGUUCAAUAAAUCAAAAUGAAAAAUUCUCCACGGUAUGGUGUAUGAAGAUUUUUUGAUGCGGU
Toxorhynchites rutilus septentrionalis is the source of this 860-nucleotide long non-coding RNA. RefSeq lists it as uncharacterized. The record is from RefSeq and is a predicted model, not a curated record. The transcript is spliced from 3 exons. NCBI's taxonomy places the organism in Eukaryota, Metazoa, Arthropoda, Insecta, Diptera, Culicidae.